UACGAAGGGUGCAAGCGUUACUCGGAAUUACUGGGCGUAAAGCGUGCGUAGGUGGUUUGUUAAGUCUGUUGUGAAAGCCCCGGGCUCAACCUGGGAAUGGCAAUGGAUACUGGCAGGCUAGGGUGCGGUAGAGGGUAGUGGAAUUCCCGGUGUAGCGGUGAAAUGCGUAGAGAUCGGAAGGAACACCAGUGGCGAAGGCGACUGUCUGGCCAGAUACUGACGCUGAGGCGCGAAAGCGUGGGGAGCAAACAGG
Molecule: ribosomal RNA, 253 nt
Filed under: uncultured bacterium
Lineage: Bacteria
Description: partial 16S ribosomal RNA
Rfam family: Bacterial small subunit ribosomal RNA
Source: RNAcentral